UCCGGCGAACUCCACAAUCUCCGGAAACCUUGGUGAUCUACCGUGAACUCGGCGAUCCCCGGCGAACUCUGGUUACCUCCAGCGAAUUCGGCGAGAUAACAACCACAAUUUUAUUUAGACAGCCGUCAAAAUGGUGCUUCUUCGACAACACUGUGUGAGACUCUGAGCAAGACUGAGAGAGCGAUAGUCAUGGAGAUUAGCGAGGAAGAAGAGGACUUCACAUCUAUUGAAACCAUACCUCUUUAAUCAAAGAACGAUUCCGUUAUCAGUCUCUCACCGAAAAAGUUCGUUCUUUCACUCUUUCUAUCUCUUUGUCUCGCUACAUUCACUCUCCCAAACGUUCAAGAAGAUCAGAGCGAUCCCGUCCGUCACCACCAAUCGGUCACCACCUGGAUCUUCAAGAUCUGAAUUCAACAAGAAGGCUUCUCAGAUCGGUAUACAUAUCCACAAAACGUCUCAGAAGACCGCGAGGCUCUCUAAAUUGGCAAAAGAAUCGUCCAUUUUCAAUCACCGGCUGUCUAUAUACGGGAGCUAACAGAGUUGAUCAGGAAUGAUAUCACGGGGCUGAACAUGGCUCUCUCUGAUCUGCAGACCCUUCAGAACAUGGAGAUCGCUGAUGGGAGCUAUUCACAUGACAAAUUUGGUCACUACAGAGCUGUUUGUGAUGACUUGAAAACCAGACUUAUGGGAGCUACAAAGCAGUUUGAUCAAGAUGUUCUUACUGUGAGAUCAGAGAACAUGAAGCCUCAUGAAAAUUGGAAAUAAUUGUUUUAGCUAAAGCCUUUGUUGUCAUCGCUAAAGAAAGCAAAAACCUUCAGUUCGCUUGGGAUCUUAGCGCUCAGAUCCGCAACUCUCAGCUGAUUCUCUCCACUACCGCUGCUUCCAGACGUCCCGUGACGGUUCUUGACUCUGAACCCACUAUCCGCGACAUGGCUGUCUUGCGUUACCAAUCUCAGCAGCUUCAUUACAACAGCGCCACUAUGAUCAUGAGGCUCAAGGCUACUAUUCAGUCUUUGAAGAGCAUAUGAGUUCUGUUACUGAGAAGAGUGCUAAGUAUGCUCAGAUUGCUGCUGAGGAAGUGCCCAAGAGUCUUUACUGACUUGGUGUUCAUCUCACUACUGAGUGGUUUCAGAACUCUGAGUUACAGGAGAAGCUUGCGGAGAGAAGCUAUGCUGUGGCUUCUAAGAUCACCGAUAACAGUCUUUACCAUUUCUGUGUGUUUUCUGAUAACAUUGUUGCUACUUCGGUUGUGGUUAACUCCAUUGCUCUCAACUCCAAGGCCCCUGAGAAAGUCGUCUUUCAUCUUGUCACUAACGAUAUCAACUACGCUGCGACGAAGUCAUGGUUUACUAUGAACAUGGACAACCUCAGAGGAGUCACUGUUGAUGUUCAGAAGUUUGAGGAUUUCAAAUGGCUUAAUGCUUCUUAUGUCCCCGUCCUCAAGCAGCUCCAAGAUUGAUACACAAAGUUACUAUUUCCUGGAUACAACGACGAUGUACGCACACCGAUCAAGUUCAGAAACCCCAAUCUCAAUGCUCAAUUAUACUUUUUUAUAAUGGCUUAUAAAAGAAACUGUAAAAGUGAUUUUCUUUAAUAAGCAAAGAAAUGAUGGAAAGUUGGUUAAUUUGGUGAUUUAUAAACUCUUAUAAAUAGAUUUAUAAAUCUUGUAAAUUAGUUUAUAAACACUUAUAAAUAAAUGUAUAAACUCUUAUAAAUAGCUUAUAAGUUCUUGUAAAUAA
Molecule: long non-coding RNA, 1739 nt
Organism: Brassica napus (rape)
Lineage: Eukaryota; Viridiplantae; Streptophyta; Magnoliopsida; Brassicales; Brassicaceae
Exons: 3
Source: RefSeq, a predicted model, not a curated record